AGUGGCGAACGGGUGAGUAACAUAUCGGAACGUACCCAGUAAUGGGGGAUAACUAGUCGAAAGAUUAGCUAAUACCGCAUACGCCCUGAGGGGGAAAGCGGGGGAUCGAAAGACCUCGCGUUAUUGGAGCGGCCGAUAUCUGAUUAGCUAGUUGGUGGGGUAAAGGCCUACCAAGGCGACGAUCAGUAGCUGGUCUGAGAGGACGACCAGCCACACUGGAACUGAGACACGGUCCAGACUCCUACGGGAGGCAGCAGUGGGGAAUUUUGGACAAUGGGCGCAAGCCUGAUCCAGCCAUUCCGCGUGAGUGAAGAAGGCCUUCGGGUUGUAAAGCUCUUUCGCAAGGGAAGAAACGAUACAGUCGAAUAAACUGUGUUAAUGACGGUACCUUGAUAAGAAGCACCGGCUAACUACGUGCCAGCAGCCGCGGUAAUACGUAGGGUGCGAGCGUUAAUCGGAAUUACUGGGCGUAAAGCGUGCGCAGGCGGUUAUGUAAGUCAGAUGUGAAAUCCCCGGGCUCAACCUGGGAACUGCGUUUGAAACUACAAGGCUAGAGUGUAGCAGAGGGGGGUAGAAUUCCACGUGUAGCAGUGAAAUGCGUAGAGAUGUGGAGGAAUACCAAUGGCGAAGGCAGCCCCCUGGGUUAACACUGACGCUCAUGCACGAAAGCGUGGGGAGCAAACAGGAUUAGAUACCCUGG
Molecule: ribosomal RNA, 700 nt
Filed under: uncultured beta proteobacterium
Lineage: Bacteria; Pseudomonadati; Pseudomonadota; Betaproteobacteria
Description: bacterial SSU rRNA
Rfam family: Bacterial small subunit ribosomal RNA
Source: RNAcentral